UGAGGUAGUAGGUUAUAUCAGU
This 22-nucleotide microRNA is filed under the name Ciona intestinalis (vase tunicate). RNAcentral describes it as "cin-let-7c". Its record names the gene cin-let-7c. Lineage: Eukaryota; Metazoa; Chordata; Ascidiacea; Phlebobranchia; Cionidae. RNAcentral also lists the same sequence under 1 other name. The record is from miRBase by way of RNAcentral.